This 285-nucleotide transfer-messenger RNA is filed under the name Burkholderiaceae bacterium. It matches the Rfam family "transfer-messenger RNA", at positions 10 to 294 of the family's 374-position model. Rfam says of the family: Bacterial tmRNA, also known as 10Sa RNA or SsrA, is named for its dual tRNA and mRNA-like properties. Its role is to liberate the mRNA from a stalled ribosome. The record is from RNAcentral. Lineage: Bacteria; Pseudomonadati; Pseudomonadota; Betaproteobacteria; Burkholderiales; Burkholderiaceae.
CAUGGUUUCGACGUGGAUUACAAAGCAUCAAGGGCAUACCGAGGACCCGUUAUCUCGUAAAUCAAUGGGAAUGCAAUAACUGCUAACGACGAACGUUACGCACUAGCCGCUUAAAUGCGGCUGCCCCUGAACUGAUUCUCUCUUGGGUCAGGUAGCGCAAGCUACAUCAGGGUCAUUUACAAGAGAUAAGAUCAACUCGUGUCACGAGGGUUGAUACGGAUCAACUUUUGCAAGAUGUGCGGCAUGCAAAAUGGGUUCUGGGUGUGGUUUAGAGUGCGGGGUGGU